GUGGAAUUGAGCAGUUCAAGCAGCAUCCAAAAAUGGAAAGAGGAGUGGUGCAGUUGGGAGGCAGAGGCACGUAGAUGAUGCAUAGAGGCAUACAGAAGAAAAAAUAAAAGGUAAUGCAUCAUUUUAUGCAAUUAUAUUUUAGAACAUUGAGCAUCCUUAUGAGAACACAAUAGUAUGAUUAAUUCAAUCAAAUUAGUUUAUCUGUGGGUAAAAACCUGCAUAGGUAUUCAGCCUGAUCCUUUUGAUUUCUGCAUCCACUCCAAUUUGAUGAGAAUUUUUCAAAAUUAUUAAUAAUAAAUGACAACAGUUUUACUUUACCUACAACUGUUAAAACAUCACUC
Molecule: long non-coding RNA, 341 nt
Organism: Amblyraja radiata (thorny skate)
Lineage: Eukaryota; Metazoa; Chordata; Chondrichthyes; Rajiformes; Rajidae
Exons: 2
Source: RefSeq, a predicted model, not a curated record